RNAcentral lists this ribosomal RNA (468 nucleotides) under uncultured bacterium. Its description in RNAcentral is "partial 16S ribosomal RNA". It matches the Rfam family "Bacterial small subunit ribosomal RNA", at positions 28 to 507 of the family's 1533-position model. The record is from RNAcentral.
GACGAACGCUGGCGGCGUGCUUAACACAUGCAAGUCGAACGGAAAGGCCCUGCUUUUGUGGGGUGCUCGAGUGGCGAACGGGUGAGUAACACGUGAGUAACCUGCCCUUGACUUUGGGAUAACUUCAGGAAACUGGGGCUAAUACCGGAUAGGAGCUCCUGCUGCAUGGUGGGGGUUGGAAAGUUUCGGCGGUUGGGGAUGGACUCGCGGCUUAUCAGCUUGUUGGUGGGGUAGUGGCUUACCAAGGCUUUGACGGGUAGCCGGCAUGAGAGGGUGACCGGCGACAUUGGGACUGAGAGACGGCCCAGAGUCCUACGGGAGGCAGCAGGGGGGAAUAUUGCACAAUGGGCGGAAGCCUGAUGCAGAAACGCCGCGUGCGGGAUGACGGCCUGCGGGUUGUAAACCGCUGUCGCCUGUGACGAAGCGUGAGUGACGGUAAUGGGUAAAGAAGCACCGGCUAACUACGUG